AAGCUUUGUUAGCGGUUUUGGAGUCAAAUAUAACGAGAUGUCAUGUGUAUGAUUGAGUAUAAGAACUAGAACCGUAACCAGAUCCCGGAAGCUAUAUUGGGAAAAAUGUCAGAAAAAGCACCAACUUUCAAAUUUGGGAUGAAAAAACCCUCAACUUUCAAUGCGUCAUUUUAAUCACAAAGUUUCUGUUGACUUUUACAGAAAACACCAAAGUUUUGUUGACCGGGACGAAUUAAGCACAUCGUUAAGUCUCCGUUUAACUGACGCAGACGGGGUUAAUUUCGCUGUUAACAGGCAUCGUUAGAUAAAACGACAGCGUCUUCGUAACCAUUAAACGU
This 338-nucleotide small RNA is filed under the name Arabidopsis thaliana (thale cress). RNAcentral describes it as "ATSL264770". The record is from RNAcentral. Lineage: Eukaryota; Viridiplantae; Streptophyta; Magnoliopsida; Brassicales; Brassicaceae.